GAAUAUUGGACAAUGGACGCAAGUCUGAUCCAGCAACGCCGCGUGGGUGAAGAAGGCCUUCGGGUUGUAAAGCCCUUUCGACGGGGACGAUGAUGACGGUACCCGUAGAAGAAGCCCCGGCUAACUUCGUGCCAGCAGCCGCGGUAAUACGAAGGGGGCUAGCGGUGUUCGGAAUUACUGGGCGUAAAGGGCGCGUAGGCGGACUGUUAUAGUCAGGGGUGAAAUCCCGGGGCUCAACCUCGGAAUUGCCUUUGAUACUGGCGGUCUUGAGGACGGGAGAGGGUCGUGGAAUUCCCAGUGUAGAGGUGAAAUUCGUAGAUAUUGGGAAGAACACCGGUGGCGAAGGCGGCGACCUGGACCGGAUCUGACGCUGAGGCGCGAAAGCGUGGGGAGCAAACAGG
Molecule: ribosomal RNA, 401 nt
Filed under: uncultured bacterium
Lineage: Bacteria
Description: bacterial SSU rRNA
Rfam family: Bacterial small subunit ribosomal RNA
Source: RNAcentral